GACGAACGCUGGCGGCGUGGAUUAGGCAUGCAAGUCGAACGGUAUCAUCCUUUCGGGGGUGAGAGAGUGGCGAACUGGUGAGUAACACGUAGGUUAUCUACCCUCAAGACGGGGACAACCCAGGGAAACUUGGGCUAAUACCGGAUGUGAGCAACUUUUAGUUGUUUGAAAGGUGGCGUAAGCUGUCGCUUGGGGAUGAGCCUGCGUCCUAUUAGUUAGUUGGUGAGGUAACGGCUCACCUAGGCAAUGAUAGGUAGGCGGCCUUAACGGGUGGUCGCCCACACUGGGAUUGAGAUACGGCCCAGACUCCUACGGGAGGCAGCAGUCGAGAAUAGUCUACAAUGGUCGGAAGACUGAUAGUGCGACGCCGCGUGAACGAUGAAUCCCUUCGGGGUGUAAAGUUCUUUUAUAUGUGAGCAGUGCUUCUUAUAUUAACAGUAUGGGGAGAGAGAUAUAGCAUAUGAAUAAGCAACGGCUAACUCCGUGCCAGCAGCCGACGGU
Molecule: ribosomal RNA, 501 nt
Filed under: uncultured bacterium
Lineage: Bacteria
Description: bacterial SSU rRNA
Rfam family: Bacterial small subunit ribosomal RNA
Source: RNAcentral